GGGUUCCAAAGAGUUCAGCUUCUGAGCUACAUACGGGGUGCUUGGUCACCCAUAUCGCUCAGGGGAAGGUCCUCGGAUACGCACGAUAGAAAGUAUCGGCAAUCUAAUCGAUUGAACUUCCGCAAUACAACGCUUGUAUGAGAAGAUUCCUGACGGAUGAUUUGGCAAAGUUGGUUGCGAGGAGACUGAUCCUAACACAGUCAUGCUGGGAAAAUCGAGAGUGAUUUUCGAAAACACAACGUGGCCUACUCCAGAGGAACU
This 261-nucleotide RNase MRP RNA is filed under the name Diaphorina citri (Asian citrus psyllid). RNAcentral describes it as "RNase MRP". It matches the Rfam family "RNase MRP". Rfam says of the family: RNase MRP is an enzymatically active ribonucleoprotein with two distinct roles in eukaryotes. In mitochondria it plays a direct role in the initiation of mitochondrial DNA replication. In the nucleus it is involved in precursor rRNA processing, where it cleaves the internal transcribed spacer 1 between 18S and 5.8S rRNAs. Lineage: Eukaryota; Metazoa; Arthropoda; Insecta; Hemiptera; Psyllidae. The record is from Rfam by way of RNAcentral.